Molecule: ribosomal RNA, 699 nt
Filed under: uncultured bacterium
Lineage: Bacteria
Description: bacterial SSU rRNA
Rfam family: Bacterial small subunit ribosomal RNA
Source: RNAcentral
CAUGCAAGUCGAACGGCAGCGCGGGAGCAAUCCUGGCGGCGAGUGGCGAACGGGUGAGUAAUACAUCGGAACGUGCCCAAUCGUGGGGGAUAACGCAGCGAAAGCUGUGCUAAUACCGCAUACGAUCUACGGAUGAAAGCAGGGGAUCGCAAGACCUUGCGCGAAUGGAGCGGCCGAUGGCAGAUUAGGUAGUUGGUGAGGUAAAGGCUCACCAAGCCUUCGAUCUGUAGCUGGUCUGAGAGGACGACCAGCCACACUGGGACUGAGACACGGCCCAGACUCCUACGGGAGGCAGCAGUGGGGAAUUUUGGACAAUGGGCGAAAGCCUGAUCCAGCCAUGCCGCGUGCAGGAUGAAGGCCUUCGGGUUGUAAACUGCUUUUGUACGGAACGAAACGGCCUUUUCUAAUAAAGAGGGCUAAUGACGGUACCGUAAGAAUAAGCACCGGCUAACUACGUGCCAGCAGCCGCGGUAAUACGUAGGGUGCAAGCGUUAAUCGGAAUUACUGGGCGUAAAGCGUGCGCAGGCGGUAAUGUAAGACAGUUGUGAAAUCCCCGGGCUCAACCUGGGAACUGCAUCUGUGACUGCAUUGCUGGAGUACGGUAGAGGGGGAUGGAAUUCCGCGUGUAGCAGUGAAAUGCGUAGAUAUGCGGAGGAACACCGAUGGCGAANGCAUCCUCUGGACCUGUACUGACGCUCA